Molecule: ribosomal RNA, 783 nt
Filed under: uncultured Neocallimastigales
Lineage: Eukaryota; Fungi; Neocallimastigomycota; Neocallimastigomycetes; Neocallimastigales
Description: partial large subunit ribosomal RNA
Rfam family: Eukaryotic large subunit ribosomal RNA
Source: RNAcentral
UACGACUACAUAUCAGGCAUAUCAAUAAGCGGAGGAAAAGAAACUAACUAGGAUUCCCUCAGUAACGGCGAGUGAAGCGGGAAGAGCUCAAAUUUGAAAUCUUCAAGGUUUUACCUUGACGAAUUGUAGUUUAAAGAAGUGUUUUCUGUUGGUGUUUUGGUAAAAGUUCUUUGGAAUAGGACAUCAUAGAGGGUGAGAAUCCCGUAUUUGACCAUUAUUUCCAGCUUUGUGAUACACUUUCAAAGAGUCGGAUUGUUUGGGAAUGCAGUCCAAAAUGGGUGGUAAAUUUCAUCUAAAGCUAAAUACUGGCGAGAGACCGAUAGCGAACAAGUACCGUGAGGGAAAGAUGAAAAGAACUUUGAAAAGAGAGUUAAACAGUACGUGAAAUUGUCAAAAGGGAAGCGUUUGACACCAGUGUUGUUUUCUCGAAAAUCAAUUAAAAAGUAGUGGGAUUUUGUAUUGUUAAGACCUUAUCAGCUUACGGUACUUUUUUCUUACUCUUUUUAAUGCACUUUUCGUUUAACAAGUCAACAUCAAUUUCCUUUUGUUGUAAAAGAGUCAUUGGAAGGUGGCUUUCACUUCGGUGUAAAGUGUUUAUAGCCUUGUGCCUCUGCAAUCGGAGAGAUUGAGGUCUGCAGCGUAGAUCCUUCGGGGUUAGAUACGUUAGAUGCUAAGUUAUAGCUUUUUCAUAGACAACUUGUUGACUAUGAUUUAAGUCAUUGUAGCUUACUCGCUUACUGCUAUUUUACCUACGCUUAGGAUGUUGACGCGCGUGUGUGCGUG